Molecule: transfer RNA, 87 nt
Filed under: Acidiferrobacterales bacterium
Lineage: Bacteria; Pseudomonadati; Pseudomonadota; Gammaproteobacteria; Acidiferrobacterales
Description: tRNA-Leu
Rfam family: tRNA
About the family: Transfer RNA (tRNA) molecules are approximately 80 nucleotides in length. Their secondary structure includes four short double-helical elements and three loops (D, anti-codon, and T loops).
Source: RNAcentral
GCCCGGGUGGCGAAAUUGGUAGACGCAAGGGACUUAAAAUCCCUCGGGAUAACUCCCGUGCCGGUUCGAGUCCGGCCUCGGGCACCA